Molecule: transfer RNA, 67 nt
Filed under: Sitta pygmaea
Lineage: Eukaryota; Metazoa; Chordata; Aves; Passeriformes; Sittidae
Description: tRNA-Glu
Source: RNAcentral
CCCGUAGUUAAAUUUUUAUAACGAUGGUUUUUCAGGCCAUUGAUCCUGGAGAGAGGCCAGGUGGGAA